This is a long non-coding RNA of Microtus oregoni (creeping vole), 553 nucleotides long. RefSeq lists it as uncharacterized. The transcript has 3 exons. NCBI's taxonomy places the organism in Eukaryota, Metazoa, Chordata, Mammalia, Rodentia, Cricetidae. The record is from RefSeq and is a predicted model, not a curated record.
GCUCUGGUUAAGGGCAGCAGCAGCAGGAACAGCAGCAGAAGGUGGAGGGUGAAGAGAGGCCAGGGAGCCAUCACAGGAACCUGGAGGAAGUCAGUCAGCAUGAGACCUGAUGGGAGAAUGCUGAAGAUGACUCUUGUAUCAAGUUGACAAAAAUAAACCAGAACAAUGGGGAUUGGAUCAUGAGACCUCUGACAUCAGCAGUGGAUUAAUCCAGCCAUGGAUCCAUUUACUGGAUGCCUCUACAGGAAGGUGAUGAGUAGGCGGAGUCUAGUUGGAGGAAGUCACUAUGCUGGGAGCAGCCUCCUCUGUCAAAUGAUCUUGCCACUAAGUUGCUCUGCUUCCCCAUGGACCCAUAACAAUGGCUAAUAUGUUACCAAUGCACCAAUGCCCACUGUCUGAAUUGAGUGCUUCCAGGUUCUUGGUGUCUUAUUCAAGGAACUGAAAUAAGUACACAGAGUCUUAUUCCUAAGAUGUUUGCGGCAGCUGCUAGCCCCGAAGAGAUGGUUGUAGGUCCACAUGUGACAAGCGGCUACAGUUUCCCACCAAAGGGAGG